CCUACGGGAGGCAGCAGUGAGGAAUAUUGGUCAAUGGACGAGAGUCUGAACCAGCCAAGUAGCGUGAAGGAUGACUGCCCUAUGGGUUGUAAACUUCUUUUAUAUGGGAAUAAAACGUUCCACGUGUGGGAUUUUGUAUGUACCAUAUGAAUAAGGCUCGGCUAACUCCGUGCCAGCAGCCGCGGUAAUACGGAGGAUCCGAGCGUUAUACGGAUUUAUUGGGCUUAAAGGGAGCGUAGGUGGGUUGUUAAGUCAGUUGUGAAAGUUUGCGGCUCAACCGUAAAAUUGCAGUUGAAACUGGCAGUCUUGAGUACAGUAGAGGUGGGCGGAAUGCGUGGUGUAGCGGUGAAAUGCUUAGAUAUCACGAAGAACUCCGAUUGCGAAGGCAGUUCACUGGACUGCAACUGACACUGAGGCUCGAAAGUGUGGGUAUCAAACAGGAUUAGAUACCCUGGUAGUC
Molecule: ribosomal RNA, 460 nt
Filed under: uncultured bacterium
Lineage: Bacteria
Description: partial 16S ribosomal RNA
Rfam family: Bacterial small subunit ribosomal RNA
Source: RNAcentral